CUCCGUCUUAUCCAUUCCAUCACUUAUUAUUUCUUUACAGUUUACCUCAUUAUUGACAUACAACGCUACUCCCCCACCUUUACCUUUGAUCCGGUCUUUCCUAAACAGCACAUAUCCUUCCAUACCUGUACUCCAGUCAUGACUACUGUUCCACCACGUUUCAGUUAUUCCUAUGAUAUCUGGUUUCAUUUCUUGGACCAGGAGCUCUAAUUCCUCCAUUUUGUUACCUAGGCUUCUUGCAUUGGUGUAUAAACAUCUUAAUUUAUGCCGUUUGGCCUCUCUCACAUUUGUUAUCCCAUUUGGUAUGGACACCGUACUGCUAGUAUGACCUAUUAGUCUAGUAUCCACCCCCCCCCCUCCUUAUGUCCAAUCUCGUCCCCCCCGGCUAUAUCCGUUCUUAUCUCAUUGUCCUCCCUCUCAAUGUUAUAAUCUGGUGUGGAAAUUAACUGGACAUCUCCCAACCAUCUCCCCCAAAUUCCUAGUUUAAAGCUCUUUUGAUGAGAUGAGCCAGCCUUCCUCCCAGAAGUCUAUUUCCUUCCCUACUCAGGUGAAGUCCGUCCCGUGAGAACAGUUUUCUGUCCCCGAAAGCCUCCCAGUGGCCAUACAUCCCAAAGCUCUCUUUAUAGCACCACUCCCUUAGCCAACUAUUUAUCAUCACAAUCCUGUCACCCCUUUGCUGCCCUUCUCUAGGAACAGGCAGAAUCUGACUGAAGAUGAUCUGAGCCUCGAUUUCCUUAAGCGUCUUCCCCAGCCUGGCAUAAUCUCCCUUGAUUCUCUCUUACUUUUACAGUGGACAUGAACUGUUCCAUUGAAACAUUUUUUAAAGGGAAUGUAACAAUAGUGAGACUAAUAUCUUCUUGUUAGCUACAAAUAAAAAUUGAAACAUCAUGUACUUGUACUGAAUAUGCUUAGUAAUGGACUUUGAGUGAAAUUGUGUGAUUUGACUCUGGGGAAUGACAUCACAGAAUGUGGACGCGAAACAAUAGCAUGUUGCAUGAUUGAGAAUGUGUUAUUAUCAACAUGGGGCACAGCAAAUCAGGUGAUACAUUAUGUAAGAGUGAGACAAUAAUAUGAAAGCAAGUGUGUAUAUAUGUGAGCAAUAAAUCAUUUCGAUCAUUAAUUAAAAAGAGAUAGAAUGGAUUUGUAUCUAUGUCCAGAAACUGGAGGGGGGGAAAAAAGGAAAGCAAAGUUCAUUUAUGCGGUCCGCUAAUGUACUCUCUAAAAAUUCCAGAAACUUUAUCAAACGAUUAACUAGCAAAUCCUCAUCUGAUUGGAAUACUAAAAUUGUUCAGCAUCCCAGACAAAAUGAUGGCCACAACUGCGGACCACUCAUCUUAAAGAAACGUAUUUGCAGCACAAAGACAUCAGUACGGUAGAAACAAAACAAGAGGCUAAUACUGCGUUUAGAAGACAUAUAGCAAAUCUUCCAAUGAAGGAGUCAGAAAGCAUGGAGGACUACUGCAUAUACUACAACCUUGUCAACUGUGAAAAGGAAAGUGAGGAUUGCACAAUGGUCCAGUGUGAUUCUUGCAAGAGGUUGGCAUAUGCCCUGCAUUACAGAAGGAACUAAUCAAGAAAACCUGACUGAUGAGGAGAAAGAGUACAACUGCAAAAAAUGUGCAUAGUUCACUUCUUUACCAAAACAAAACAAACAAAAAUGCUUAAAUGCCUCUUGUUCAAAACAUAAUGCAACCAAAAGAAUUGUUUUUAUUUAUA
This is a long non-coding RNA of Malaclemys terrapin pileata, 1716 nucleotides long. RefSeq lists it as uncharacterized. The transcript is spliced from 4 exons. Lineage: Eukaryota; Metazoa; Chordata; Testudines; Emydidae. The record is from RefSeq and is a predicted model, not a curated record.